CCUACGGGAGGCAGCAGUGAGGAAUAUUGGUCAAUGGACGAGAGUCUGAACCAGCCACGUAGCGUGAAGGAUGACUGCCCUAUGGGUUGUAAGCUUCUUUUAUAUGGGAAUAAAAUGUUCCACGUGUGGGAUUUUGUAUGUACCAUAUGAAUUAGGAUCGGCUAACUCCGUGCCAGCAGCCGCGGUAAUACGGUGGAUCCGAGCGUUAUCCGGAUUUAUUGGGUUUAAAGGGAGCGUAGGUGGAUUGUUAAGUCAGUUGUGAAAAUUUGCGGCUCAACCGUAAGAUUGCAGUUGAAACUGGCAGUCUUGAGUACAGUAGAGGUAGGCGGAAUUCGUGGUGUAGCGGUGAAAUGCUUAGAUAUCACGAAGAACUCCGAAUGCGAAGGCAGCUCACUGGACUGCAACUGACACUGAGGCUCGAAAGUGUGGGUAGCAAACAGGAUUAGAUACCCCUGUAGUC
RNAcentral lists this ribosomal RNA (460 nucleotides) under uncultured bacterium. RNAcentral describes it as "partial 16S ribosomal RNA". It matches the Rfam family "Bacterial small subunit ribosomal RNA", at positions 338 to 795 of the family's 1533-position model. The record is from RNAcentral.